ACUAAACAACAGUCUUGGUUUCCUUGACUGACGUAUUAGAUUAUUAUUAACAUAUGGUUUUGUUCUCAUCCUGGUUUCACAGUGUUAACUGUAUACCUACAAAUUAGACAUACAAAGUCAUUCUGUUCUUCAAGCUAAAUGGAAAUUAAAUUCAUAUCAACUUUUUAUUUUAUAGUUUUUACACUUACUGAGAAUGUAGAUGGAAAUUGUGUAUACAGGAAACGAGAAACCUUAGGUAGUGCUGUAAGUACCAUAGAAAAAAGUUAGAAAAAAAUAAUUUAAGAAAUUAAUUAAAAAUACAUGUUCCUAUAGACAGAUAGACAUUUGUAAUCCCUCUUCCUUAAGUUAAGAUGAAUAAGGUAUGUUUUAAACUGAAUAGAAAUGUCUGAAUAUGUUGGAAUAAUUAUACCCUCUUGUUAAAGUUGAUCAAAGUUGUGUUUAUGAGAAUGGUGCAUUAUGAUAGACAUGUUUUAUUAUUUUAUUGAAAUUAUUGUUUGUUCUCUCACUUUUUUACACAAUUUUUUAACAAAGAGCCAUAAUAUACCUAUUUCCUUUGAAUUAAGACUUUUCCUUAAUUAUUGAAAGCUAUAAAUUAUGCAUCUACCAUUUAAAGCAAGCUAUUUUACAAUUUAUUAUACAUGUAACUUCAAGAUAUCUAUUUUACUUUAUAAGAUAUCUAGUAUAGUUUACAAAAUAUCUCAUAUAAAUUGUUAAAAGAUAUCUUAUAGUUAUAUACAGAUUUUUUGUGUUAUUAAAAUUUGCUGUCACAAAAUGUUAGAAAUUAAUAUAAAUCAAGGAAUGUAUCUACCUUUUGCAAAGCUCUGAUUCCUUUGACAGAUUUGGCUAUACUUUUUGGACCUUUUGGAUUAUAGCUCUUCAUCUUUUAUAUAAGUUUUGGAUUUCAAAUAUAUUGGCCACGAGCAUCACUGAAGAGACAUGUAUUGUCGAAAUGGCAUCUGGAUGAAAAUUGGUACCGUUAAUAUGUUAUUAUAGUUUAAACAAGAUAUUUUAUAUAGUUUAUGAUAUAUAUCUUAUACAGUGUAUGAGAUAUAAUAUAUAUAGUGUAUGAGAAAUCUUAUAUAGUGAAUGAGAUAUCUUAUAUAGGGAAUGAGAUAUAUCUUAUAUAGUGUAUGAGAUAUCUUAUAUAGUGUAUGAGAUAUUUUAUAUAGGGAAUGAGAUAUCUUAUAUAGUGAAUGAGAUAUCUUAUAAUAGGGAAUGAGAUAUCUUAUAUAGUGUAUGAGAAGUCUUAUAUAGGGAAUGAGAUAUUUUAUAUAGUGUAUGAUAUAUCAUAUAUAGUGUAUGAGAAAUCUUAUAUAGUGAAUAAGAUAUCUUAUAAAAUGAUAUGAGCAAAUAAGCCCUAAAAGGAUAAAUCAGCAUGUGCAAUACUGAAAACAUCUCACUGUCGAUAUAAAUCAAGAUUUAAUAUUGCUCUUCGAACAGGACCAAUACGGAAAAAACAGGGCCAAUACAGAAAAAAAGCGGGGAAAAAAGCUGUAUUAGCCAUACAGGAUGUUCACUUUCGGUUUUCAAUUUUUCUUACGCCAUUACUUAACUUUCGUUAUGCAUAAAAACAUUUGUAUAAUAUUUUUUAAAUUAAAAUCAUAAAAUAAACAGGUUAAAUGAUGUGCAAGUUUGGUCGUUUAAGUUUUGAAACGGAAAAAAACAGGGCCAUAGAAAAGCGGGGAAAAAAGCCUUAUUGGCCCAUGGGCUAAUACGGGACGUUACUUCCGGUUUUUUAAUUUUAAUCAUUAAUAAAAGUGUAUGAACUGGCUGUUUCUGUAUUACACUGGUUAGAUUCUCAGUCAGCUGUAUGGCCUCGACCCUACGGGUCUCGAGGCCAAUACAGCAAACCUUGAAUCUAUACCAGUGCCAAUACAGAAACAGCCAGUUAAUAACACUAUAUUAUAUAGUGAAUGAGAUAUCUUAUAAAGGGAAUGAGAUAUUUUAUAUAGUGUAUAUAAGAUAUAUUACGUAGUUUAUAAGAAACCGCAUAUAAUUUUCUUUACAAGAUAUCAUAUAAAUUAUACGAGAUAUCUUAUAAACUAUAGGAGAUAAAGAACAUAAGAUAUCUUAAAUGAAUUUUUUUUAUAAGAUAUCUCAUAUACUCCAGAUGAUAUCUUAAUCACUUUAGAAGAUAGUUUAACAUAUUUAUUUAUAGUGGAUUGGGAAACAAGUUUUGCAACUUAUAUUAAUCCCUUUCCACUUUGCGGGUGCGAGUGCUGCCUUAUUGUAUAAACAUUAGAAAAUAAAAAAGUAUAAUAAUCUUAAUCUUAUAAAGUAUUUAGUAUCUAGGAGAGAGAUAAUAGGAAGUCAAUCUGGGAAGNNNNNNNNNNNNNNNNNNNNNNNNNAUAAGUAUAUGAGAUAUCUUUUAAGUAUAUGAGAUCUCUUUUAAAUAUAUGAGAUAUCUUUUAUAGUAUAUGAAUAUCUUUUAAGUAUAUGAGAUAUCUUUAGUAUAUGAGAUAUCUUUUAAGUAUAUGAGAUAUCCUGAGUUUAUUAGAUAGUAAACUGCUUGCCAUUUACAUAAAUAAUAUUUAUAAUUCUAGAUGACAUUUAACAUCAAUACUACAUGGGUGGUCGGCAAUAGACCAUGACCCAGUCAUAAUCUCGUUAGAUCAUGACAGAUGU
This 2625-nucleotide long non-coding RNA is filed under the name Mytilus galloprovincialis (Mediterranean mussel). Lineage: Eukaryota; Metazoa; Mollusca; Bivalvia; Mytilida; Mytilidae. The record is from RNAcentral.